Hibiscus syriacus is the source of this 160-nucleotide long non-coding RNA. RefSeq lists it as uncharacterized. NCBI's taxonomy places the organism in Eukaryota, Viridiplantae, Streptophyta, Magnoliopsida, Malvales, Malvaceae. The transcript is spliced from 3 exons. The record is from RefSeq and is a predicted model, not a curated record.
AGGACUUAAAUAGUUAAUGGUUUGGAGUGCAAGAUCACUUGCAAUUCUUCCAAGAUUGUUCCGAGUUAAACGACAAGCAGCCUAAAAUCAGAACAUCUAGUGCCAUAACCGAGCAAUGGUUUCAAACGGGUUAGCCUAACUUCUGUAGCAAUUGCUCCCG